Molecule: ribosomal RNA, 253 nt
Filed under: uncultured bacterium
Lineage: Bacteria
Description: partial 16S ribosomal RNA
Rfam family: Bacterial small subunit ribosomal RNA
Source: RNAcentral
UACGAAGGGGGCUAGCGUUGCUCGGAAUGACUGGGCGUAAAGGGCGCGUAGGCGGUUGGAUAAGUCAGCUGUGAAAACCACGAGCUUAACUCGUGGCCUGCAGUUGAGACUGUCUGGCUUGAGUGUGGGAGAGGAGAGUGGAAUUCCUGGUGUAGCGGUGAAAUGCGUAGAUAUCAGGAGGAACACCUGAGGUGAAGACGGGUUGCUGGGCUGACACUGACGCUGAGGCGCGAAAGCCAGGGGAGCAAACGGG